This is a non-coding RNA of Oryza barthii, 205 nucleotides long. NCBI's taxonomy places the organism in Eukaryota, Viridiplantae, Streptophyta, Magnoliopsida, Poales, Poaceae. The record is from Rfam.
ACUAAUUGCAGUCAUGAUUUUCCGCGCUCAACUUUAAUCGUCCGUCUUAUUUAAAUUUUUUUUAUAAUUAGCAUUUUUGUUGUUAUGAGAUGAUAAAAUAUAAAUAGUACUUUACUCGUGACUUAUGUUUUUAAUUUUUUUCAAAAGAAUUUCAAAUAAAACGAAUGGUUAAAAUUGAACACGGAAAAUCAUGACUGUAUUUAUU